GAGUAACGCGUAAGUAACUCUACCCUGAUUCGAUAACCACGAAGGUGAGCUAAUACCGGAUACGUUUANCUUGAUGCGAAUGAUGAUAAGAAAGGUGGCCUCUUCAUGAAAAGCUACUGUACAGGGACGAGCUUGCGUACCAUUAGCUAGUUGGUAGGGUAAUGGCCUACCAAGGCGACGAUGGUUAGCGGGUCUGAGAGGAUGAUCCGCCACACUGGAACUGGAACACGGACCAGACUCCUACGGGAGGCAGCAGUGAGGAAUAUUGCGCAAUGGGGGCAACCCUGACGCAGCGACGCCGCGUGGAUGAUGAAGGCCCUUGGGUCGUAAAAUCCUGUCAGAUGGAAAGAAAUGUAUAGCAGCUAAUAUCUGUUAUAUUUGACGGUACCAUCAAAGGAAGCACCGGCUAACUCCGUG
Molecule: ribosomal RNA, 417 nt
Filed under: uncultured bacterium
Lineage: Bacteria
Description: bacterial SSU rRNA
Rfam family: Bacterial small subunit ribosomal RNA
Source: RNAcentral